AUUGAACGCUGGCGGCAUGCCUUACACAUGCAAGUCGAACGGCAGCAUGGAAGAGCUUGCUCUUCUGAUGGCGAGUGGCGAACGGGUGAGUAAAGCAUCGGAACGUACCGUGUAAUGGGGGAUAACGUAGCGAAAGUUACGCUAAUACCGCAUACGACCUGAGGGUGAAAGCAGGGGAUCGCAAGACCUUGCGUUAUACGAGCGGCCGAUGUCAGAUUAGCUAGUUGGUGAGGUAAAGGCUCACCAAGGCGACGAUCUGUAGUGGGUCUGAGAGGAUGAUCCGCCACACUGGGACUGAGACACGGCCCAGACUCCUACGGGAGGCAGCAGUGGGGAAUUUUGGACAAUGGGGGCAACCCUGAUCCAGCCAUGCCGCGUGAGUGAAGAAGGCCUUCGGGUUGUAAAGCUCUUUCGGCCGGGAAGAAAUCGCACAGGCUAAUACUCUGUGUGGAUGACGGUACCGGCAUAAGAAGCACCGGCUAACUACGUGCCAGCCGCCGCAGUAA
This 506-nucleotide ribosomal RNA is filed under the name uncultured bacterium. Its description in RNAcentral is "partial 16S ribosomal RNA". It matches the Rfam family "Bacterial small subunit ribosomal RNA", at positions 30 to 523 of the family's 1533-position model. The record is from RNAcentral.